CCGUCACACUCUACCAGAAAGGUCUUGACAGUCAGCGAGCGGGUACUCUGGUCCUUCAUUUUUCGGUCCCUCGGAGCCCUAGGGACUGUGCGCCCCGCCACCCCCAGUACUAGAGGGAGCGGACACCUUCCUUUGUGAGUUCCCUUGGCUGGGAACUUUCCCGCGCGGUGGGUUCCCUUUAAGAAAGUACCGAUUGCUAUGAAUAUUUAAUACGGAGCUGAAGUCCACCGGGCCGAGGGGGAGACCCGGCUCAGGCUCUGCGGCCCGGCAGCACAGCAAACACAUCCCCACCCGACCCGCCAGGGUCUGGACAGAUAAACGUGGUUUGUAUGGCCUUUGGGACAAGGCUCUCCAUCCCCAUUCCUCAAAAGCCGGCAUCCUGAAAGUGACCUCCUGAUGCUGCUGCACAUUAUGGCCCCAUGGUAGCUCUCCUACCGUGGCAGGGACAACUGAGAUUGACACUCACAGGGCUCCAAAGGGAGGAAGACACCUGACCUCACCUGGCCUUUCUACCUGCACACAUAGUCACUUGGAGAAAAUCAAGUGUAUGUACCGUCUCCCUGCAGAUGGUGUAUCUGUAAGUGUGCAAAGUUCAAGCCAGUGAUGCCCGGAUCCCUCUUCUGCCGAGAGCAAGUCCUGGAGGGCACAAGUCAUCCCUGAGCUCUUGAAAGUGUUUCAGCAAAAAUAAUAUCUUGUUCAUAGAAGAAGAAGAAGAAGAAGAAGAAGAAGAAGAAGAAGAAGAAGAAGAAGAAGAAGAAUUAAAAAGAUGUCUUUAUUUCCCUUAUGCAGUGUCUGUCCUAACACUUGCCCCUUGUAAGCUGUCUAGUUGUUAGCAACUUACAGAGUCACAGUCACAGAUGUGCCCCGUGCUUUCCUUUCUAGUCACUGAAAAUGGAGAAUUUACAUUUAAUUCUGUCUUCCCCUGGACUGUUCUCACCAGAGGGUGGGGCGGGGGGGGCAUGUGGAGCAAAGUCCAAAUGAAAAGAUCAGCCUUGUGACCCAAGUAAGUGGCACAGCCACACACCUGGGCAGUGCAUCCCAUAGAGAGACCCUCAAAGUCUGGAAACUGAGUUUUGCAGAGAUUUUCUAUCCCUUGUAUUCUUAGCCAAUUCCAGUUAUUUACAUUUUCGUUGCGUUCCCAUGCAAAGCACACAUGUAGAGGGUCACAUGACCUCACAUUCCCCGCUGAGCCACUCCACUGAUGUCCAGCACACAGCGGAAGAACCAGAGAACGAGUCUCUUCUCAGGUAUUUUAGAAGGUCAUUUCAUAGUGCUUGAUAUAUCCACGGACAGAAACUGUCCAGGUGCUCAUUACCUACGCCCCCCCCAAGAAACAGGAAAACUGCUCCUUCUUUUAAAAAAACUAGCAAUGUUUCUGAAGUAGAAGGAAACUCACCGAGGUCCAUUAGCGACUUACAUACAGAAUAUGGCUUGUCUGGGGAAACUAUAUUUGCAAAUAAACAGCUCACUGUUAA
Molecule: long non-coding RNA, 1475 nt
Organism: Mesocricetus auratus (golden hamster)
Lineage: Eukaryota; Metazoa; Chordata; Mammalia; Rodentia; Cricetidae
Exons: 4
Source: RefSeq, a predicted model, not a curated record